GAUGAACGCUGGCGGCGUGCCUAAUACAUGCAAGUCGAGCGAACGGACGAGAAGCUUGCUUCUCUGAUGUUAGCGGCGGACGGGUGAGUAACACGUGGAUAACCUACCUAUAAGACUGGGAUAACUUCGGGAAACCGGAUCUAAUACCGGAUAAUAUUUUGAACCGCAUGGUUCAAAAGUGAAAGCCGGUCUUGCUGUCACUUAUAGAUGGAUCCGCGCUGCAUUAGCUAGUUGGUAAGGUAACGGCUUACCAAGGCAACGAUGCAUAGCCGACCUGAGAGGGUGAUCGGCCACACUGGAACUGAGACACGGUCCAGACUCCUACGGGAGGCAGCAGUAGGGAAUCUUCCGCAAUGGGCGAAAGCCUGACGGAGCAACGCCGCGUGAGUGAUGAAGGUCUUCGGAUCGUAAAACUCUGUUAUUAGGGAAGAACAUAUGUGUAAGUAACUGUGCACAUCUUGACGGUACCUAAUCAGAAAGCCACGGCUAACUACGUG
RNAcentral lists this ribosomal RNA (497 nucleotides) under uncultured bacterium. Its description in RNAcentral is "partial 16S ribosomal RNA". It matches the Rfam family "Bacterial small subunit ribosomal RNA", at positions 28 to 507 of the family's 1533-position model. The record is from RNAcentral.